RNAcentral lists this long non-coding RNA (623 nucleotides) under Pan troglodytes (chimpanzee). RNAcentral's name for it is "long non-coding RNA NONPTRT007764". The record is from RNAcentral. Lineage: Eukaryota; Metazoa; Chordata; Mammalia; Primates; Hominidae.
CAAGACUAGCCUUUCUUUCUUCUCUUCCUUUGAAGAAUUAAGUGGUCUUGUUGGCUAGGACGUGUACCUGGUUCAGCUCUCUCCCCCAGGACUUCUUACCUGGGCUCCUUUUGAUUUCCUGCACGCAGUAGGAGGAAUCUAGAUCAUCGGGACUAGAAAGAAGCAGCUUCCUUCUGAUUGGGCGGCGUCUCUGAUCCUCAACUUCAGGUGCAAGGAGAGGCAAAGAAGGUGAGUGCUGCAACUGAUUGAACCAGAGCGGAGAACACAGGGAGAGGACAUCAGGUCAGGCAAAGAACAUUUCUUCCCCGAACAUGGCUAUUCACCGCUGGGGGCCUUCUCUUCUUCACCGCUUUUCACUGUCAGGUGAUAUUGGGCACUGAAGACACAGGCUCUACCAGUGUUGUGGGGAAGAAGAGGUUGUAGUGGCCUGUGGCUGCAAGGUACAAGGUGACUGCAAUGUUGAAGGGCAGAGUGAAGACCGGGAGGUCCCACUUGCUGAAGAUGGAAUUCAAGGCACUAGAAAGAACUGGGCUGAAGAUGGAAGAGACAGAGGGUUAAUCCCUGUGACAUCCUGAGGUCUACAUUGUCUCAGCAGCUCUGGCCACUGUAUCAUCCACUGCCUC